RNAcentral lists this non-coding RNA (170 nucleotides) under human gut metagenome. RNAcentral's name for it is "Lysine riboswitch". It matches the Rfam family "Lysine riboswitch aptamer". From Rfam's summary of the family: Riboswitches are metabolite binding domains within certain messenger RNAs that serve as precision sensors for their corresponding targets. Allosteric rearrangement of mRNA structure is mediated by ligand binding, and this results in modulation of gene expression. The record is from RNAcentral.
UUUAGAUAGAGGUCGCGAAACAAAAGAGUACCCACUCAGAGCAAGCAGUAUGCGAUGAAGGGUGGUAAAAGGGUGUUUCGCCGAAGUGUUGUUGCAGGCUGCAGGCAAAAAUACUGGGCAUAUACUUAAAAAGUGUAUGACUGUCAUCUUAUUGAUGGGGAGCUAUCGGA